Nematostella vectensis (starlet sea anemone) is the source of this 3883-nucleotide long non-coding RNA. RefSeq lists it as uncharacterized. The transcript has 4 exons. Lineage: Eukaryota; Metazoa; Cnidaria; Anthozoa; Actiniaria; Edwardsiidae. The record is from RefSeq and is a predicted model, not a curated record.
CACUGCAAGACAAUAAAGAAGCAGCCACUACAAGUUAGUAUAUACAACACCGCUCAAUGCCGUGUUGCCAAAGACAGGUCCACAGUAAUUUUAAAGCAUCUAUCUGUCUUUAGCAUAAUAGUCGUUUGCAUGUUGUUAACCUCAGUGCAGCACAAUACAACCAGUGAUCCGUCUCACUCAGCUUUUGUUUGUCGAACGCAUCACGCGGACUUUUGUUAGUUUGACCAAUUUGCAUAGGCGUGUCAAAUUCACUUAACGCCAAUUAACACUGGCAUAAGUAGGUAAUUUGUUUAAGGGCCGCAGCUAAUAACAGAUAAGUCAAGUUUACAAUGAUGGAAUAGUAGGAUUUGGCGCUGGAUCUACGCGUUAUUUUCAGAGAACGGACUGACAUAUACUAGAUGAGCCUGGUCAUUUGAUAUUUUGGGGGAGUGAUGACAUCUCCUAGACACUGUAUAGGACCACCCUAAGUACUAGGGAGUAAACAGGCGCAUGAGACUCACCGUAACGAUGAAAACGAUCAAUUCGUGCUAGAUCUGGAUUUGGUGGCUUUUGCGAAUGGGUUAAGACGCUGUUCUCUUCAUUGAACAAAACUUAUUGCCAAUCAACCAGGAGAUAUUGAGGUUAUACAGCAGAGGCUUGGGGAUGGAGGGAACUCUGAUGAACCUCGGAACCUUUUUCUACGCUUCUGUUUUGAUCUGUGAUCAUGGAGGUUAUCUUCCUACGGGCCGUUUUACAGACGAAUUCGAGUGUUAAAGCAAGUAGCGGAGGUAAGGGUUUGUUUACAGCCUUCUUACAAUUUGUUUAUUUUUGUUCGUUUUAAGCCUAGCUUGCUGAGACUAAGUUCAAACAUCGUAUUAUCCAUGAGCCAUAUUCAAAUCAAUCGAGUCGAUUGUUUCAUCUUCAUUUGCUCGCAUUUGCAUUGGAUACGGCUCAUGGAUAAUACGACGUUUGAACUUAGCCUGAAUGACUUAAAAUGUGGUAGCUUUGUAAGAUAAAGUUGCAAGAAUUUGCAACGUAUGCCAUAGCUACUUAGGUAGUAGCAACGCCCAUAAGGCUCAAAUACCACACUAUGAUAUAUUGUCACUGUUUUUAUUGGACGUCUUCAGGUCAAAACAGUAACUUUAAAUAAUACAAAUAUAUUUUCUUUACACAUUCAUUGGUUCCAUGAUUACAAGGACUUUUAAAAACCCUUGCAGCUCGUGCUGCGGUAUAAUUCAAUAUUCUAAAGCCUUAACUAUAUACCCUACAACGAAUGUCCUGCCCACGCCCUAUUGACGAAUUCCCCAUCCGCGCUAUCCGCAAAUGCCCGUAUAAACAAGUGGUGAAAAGCGCCUUUAAGUGUCCCUGAGAAACUAGGGCUUCUAGCAAGUAAAUUCUCUGUAUAACUGUCAGGCGAGUCACCUUGAGGGCUAUUUUAAAGGAGGUUCUAUUGUAACAAAGCACAAAGGGUAACAAAACGUUAACAAAACUUCUCAGUCUCAUUAAGUGUCGUCUUAAAGCUUUAGCAAAGUUUGGUCGGAGUAAUUACCCUUACUAAAACAAGACGUGAUCUCAGGCCACACACAGAAAAAACGAUCUCAAGAUUUACUGGAUCCGCUUAACUAUCAUUUGUACCUCACUUUAUCAUAGGCAACACCCGUCCAGCCCACUCAAAUUGAAGGGAUAAAAGGCAUGGGACUCUGACUACCCCUUGUUACAAAGAUUUCAACAAAAAACCCUAAUAACAGGGUCUCCUUAUCGAGUGUGGUCUACCUAAAGGAAUGUCAUCCUUCUGUAUCGAAAGGUGUCCCCCUUCCAGUCGGACUAUAGUAAAUCGAGCUAAAUACUCGGCUUCAGCAGGAUACGUGGCUCGUUCAGGCAGUUCAUCAACAUCAAACUGAUGACUCGUUCGUAUCUUCCGCCUUCUUCCCCUCGGCCUCGCCGCUCAUGAACCGCUCCAGUCGCCUCCUCCUCAGCUCUUGACUGGCCUCAUCCUCCGCACUGUCUGCAGCCUCUGGACUCGCGCCCACAGCCUCGGGGACCAGAGGGGAUGUAGUCUCUUUACUAUCAGCCGUCGAAGGUGCUGUAGUAGUGGUACUGGGCGUGGCUGGUGCGACGGGUUGGAUGGCGGGGGAGGUGAGGGAAGGCCAAUCAGAAGUACUUUUAGGAGCGUCUUUUGGCUUAGCAGGAGGUUUCUCUCCUUUGGUUUUUGCCGCACUGGAUUCAGUCGAAGAGUUUGUUUGUGUUGACGUGGAAGAGGAAGCUUGGCUGCAUGCAGAAAUGUACAUCACAUAAAUUACCUGAACAAAACUCAUAUACUUCAAAUAAAGUUGCACUUGGAGAAUCUGUGUAUCCAAACCCGCAGUGAUUCAUGGGUAACAAGUGAAUAAGCAAAUACGGGGAAAUAAAAUACAAUUUUAGGUUUCAAAACCUGUAGAAUUCUUGUUUUAAUUCUUAUGAAUAUUCACAUGGCUUCCAGAUACAAGGAUUCAUCCAUUUGUAUGCUACCCAAGAAACACCCCGGGUUAUGACACAUAGGUUCCCCAGUGCAACCUUAUUUGAAAUAGGUGUAUAUUUAUCUUAGUAUAUUUGAUUAAAUCUUUUAAUAUAAGUUUCAAUAGUAUUUAUUUGUUGUUAAAGAAACGGAAUGCCGAACUUUAGUAUCACUUUGGAAAAACCUUCCAAUAAAUAUACCUUUGUAAUUACCUAUCUAUAUAUAACAUGAUUGAUGACUCAGCUUGCCCCUAUUUGUCUGCAGUCAUAAUUGGCAUCAUUAAAAAGACAAAGGCUUGAACAAAGGUAUAUAGGAAGUGAGGAUGAGAGUUCGGGGUCAACUCGCAUGAAAAAAAAUCAGUGCCAUUGCGGGCUAGGAAGAGUCACACACAAAGGGGGAAAUUGACCACUUACACUGUAUUUAAUAAAAAGCACUCGGGCUGGAAAAUAUUGGCUACGGGCAUGAUAAUGUGCCUGGAAUGCUUAACAGCUAUCAUUGAGUGAAUCAUAAGACCCUCACCUCUGUGCGUUGACCAUCUGCGUGUACUGGUUCAGUUGGCCUAUAGCCACAUCAAGCAACAUGUGUACGUUCCUCAGCAUCGCAAUACGGGACUCAACCUGCUGCCUCUCUCUUCCCUCUACAGCUGCCAGCUCCUCCACUCCAAGUGACGAAAGGUCUUCGGUACUGGGAGGUGGUGGAGGGGGUGGCAUGAACGGCAAGCCUAUAAAGGGAAAGGAUGUGAGUGAGGUGUACCUAUACAGGAAGAGGAUGUGAGUGAUGUAUACCUAUACAGGGAGAGGAUGUGAGUGAUGUAUACCUAUAAAGGGAGAGAAUGUGAGUGAGGUAUACCUAUAAAGGGAGAGAAUGUGAGUGAAGUAUACCUAUACAGGUAGAGAAUGUUAGUGAAGUAUACCAACACAGGGAGAGAAUGUGAGUGAGGUAUACCUACACAGGGAGAGGAUGUGAGUGAGGUAUACCUAUACAGGGAGAGGAUGUGAGUGAGGUAUACCUAUACAGGGAGAGGAUGUGAGUGAGGUAUACCUAUACAGGGAGAGGAUGUGAGUGAGGUAUAUCUUUAAAAGGAGAGGGUCUAUACAGUAGACUCUUUUUUUAUGAUGGUCUAUAGAAUCUAUGUUUCCAAACAUAAUUCCCAAUACAGUCAUUUUAAAUGGUACUUGCAUGCUAUUAUAAAGCUUUAUUCUAUCCUAAUCAAGGCUUUGUGGCUGAUUUGGGAGGGGGAGAAGGGUAGAGAAAACUAUACAUAAAAAUACUGUACGGACAACACAAGAAAAACGUUUUGCAACACAAAAAGUUCUUAACCUAAAAACAUCUGAAGACAAAAACAUCUUAGGCCUAGAAAAUCUAUUGGACACUGAACAGGCCUAAUCUGUAUAUGCCAAUGCUACAAAA